UAUUUCACUUGGCCCAACGUUAAAGAGCAAGGUCGUCUUCGACUCUUCCAAUUCAUCGGAAUCAAUUUGACUGCAAAUCGCUGUUUCUCGUAUAUUAAUCAUCAUCCACUCCCAUUCAUUCUAUAACAUUCUUCAAUCCCAUCUGAGUUAGAUGCAUCCUUCCACCUCCCUUUGUUUCUUCACAUAUAUAAAUCCUUUUGUAUCAGUUCACUUCGAACCAUAGUCUACAUCCUCCAUAAGACAACAUUGAUCGACAGCUAUGAUAUCCGCUCAUGCUUCCGGGAAGUCUCAAGUUGCCCUCAUCGGCUUCAUCUCAUCUAAUCGUGCUCCACGAUACGAGCCUCAACUCAAACCAGGAGCUAAUUACAGCCUUCAGAAUUUCAACGACUAGAUGAACUGUUGGAUUGUAAUCCAGAGAUUGCUAAGCUGGUGAAUGAGGAGGAGGUAACUAAGGCUGAGACAAAGGAUCCGCCAAGGUUGAACUUGAGCUGUAGAUAUGCCACUCAAAUCAACAUGCCUAACUACGUAUAUCACCUGGUCGUGGACGAACGCAGGAUGCGUUUUUUUUUGGUCUAUAACUGUUACAGAAGUUGUCUCUUUCUACCACCUCUGACAGUCCCACAGAUGAAACCACAUUUGCUGCAACUGCUGAAUCGCCCCUGCUCUCUGCAAAUGUUUUUGUCUGUAUCUUCCAAAGGAUGUGGAUUGGACGCAAAUAGUGCAUCAAUCGUUCAUCCCAUAGAUUGGACGCCGGGGUUUCUGUUUCACUUUCCUUCCAGUUCUUAAGUUUUGUUCUGUUAUUGCUAUGUAAGAGGUUCUUUCAUUUCUUAAUUAUUUCGACAUAGCUCAAGUUAGACUAUGGUCUUUUUUAUGCUUUGUCUGAUUUUGUGGUUUUAGUUGUUUUCUCACUGUUAGCUCGCACCCUUUGACCCAACCAAGAAGAAGAAGAUGAAAGUUGUCAUUUUGGAUUCUAUCGAGGACUCAACAGAGUAACAAGCGGAGAAAACUGAUUCAUCCCCUCGAGUUUAUGUGCCGUGAAACUUUGGCUGUUUAUUUUCAAUGGUGUACAUACAUUGCUUUGUUUUUAUUUAUUUUCACUGCAGCUUUUGAUGGCCUUCAGAGUUCAUUUGUUGGAUAGAACUCAGUGAGUGUUCUAACGUCUUGCCUCUUCUAAACUCUUUUAUUUUUUUUUAAACUGGUGUUCUGAAGAUUAUGUGUCUCACAUUGUUUUUUUUUUCAAUGGGUGGGUUUAAUCAACCUCACAUUUACAUGGUAUUUUUAAAUUCCUUUCUUUGCUAACUAACUGUUUUUACCGGCAUGCAUUUAAAUACCUAAAUCCGUAUUUUCCAACGGUCUUAUAGAACAGUCGCCACGGUGAUCAGUGGCCUUAUUCUACUGUCGAUAAACAACUACAGAUUCCAACGACAUCAUAUCUUCACAGCCAAAAAAUGGGGAGAUGAACAUGGCGACUGAAGGCCAUCCUGGAAACUGCAGCGAAUCAUACUUGACACUACAAGGUGCUCCAGCUUACUAGAUGUUUCCAAAUGAAAUUUGGUAGGUCAUCAAGAAACUUUUCUAUUUACUUAACCAAGGGGAGUCAUUCACCAAGUCUAAGACAAUGGUUUGGGAGAAUGCUCUACUUGAUCUUGAAGAAAUUGUCUCCAAGAGCUGAGGUUCGUUGUCCGUAAUUUGCCUUAGUAGCGAAAUCCUAACACUUAUGUUAGGUGUAGAUUCCUCUGCUGAAUAAUAGACGAAACCCUUUUCACACCAACUGAGAGAUACUUGAAACAAGCUAUUGUCAAAAAGAAUCAUGGUGUUUCAAGCUAUCUGCUAUCAUGAUUUUUGCAUGCUUAUUGGUUGCAAAAUCAAUACUUCCCUUAAGAUGGCUGCUAUGAUGGAUGCUUUAGUUACUGUUUGACCUGAAUCAACUUGAAAAGAUUGAAGAUUACUUCUUCUAAAUAUUUUUAAAUAUGAAGCACAAUGGCGCCACUGCCACAUAUAAUCAAAGGCCUUUUACUAUGUUCUAAGACCCAAUUUAUGAUCUUAAAAUUCUUGCGUUUCCAUGUGUUUUGUUUCUCUUUUUACUGCUAUUUUUUUUUGUGCUUUUCUUGAAUUUGUAGAAGAAUAGAGUAGGCCAGAGCUGGAAUUCUUGAACAUCAAUAUGAUCUUUGAAAACUUAGCCAGGCUUCGGCUUAUAGCUUCCUGAGGCUGUUGUAUUGUACCCGGUUUCUCAACAGAGGGAAUAGUUCUGGUGGUAGACAUUGUAAGGGUGGGGAGGUUGGAAGAUAAUGCAACAGAAAAAGAACCAAAUUAAGAAAAAGAAUCCUCUGAUUUUAGAAAACCAUACGACACACUAUUAUUCUUAGUUGUAAUGGAGUUAACUUUUAAUAUAUUAAGAGAUACUCUACAUCA
Brassica napus (rape) is the source of this 2412-nucleotide long non-coding RNA. RefSeq lists it as uncharacterized. NCBI's taxonomy places the organism in Eukaryota, Viridiplantae, Streptophyta, Magnoliopsida, Brassicales, Brassicaceae. The record is from RefSeq and is a predicted model, not a curated record. The transcript has 6 exons.